Molecule: ribosomal RNA, 1372 nt
Filed under: uncultured bacterium
Lineage: Bacteria
Description: bacterial SSU rRNA
Rfam family: Bacterial small subunit ribosomal RNA
Source: RNAcentral
GAUGAACGCUGGCGGCGUGCCUAAUACAUGCAAGUCGAGCGAACGGACGAGAAGCUUGCUUUUCUGAUGUUAGCGGCGGACGGGUGAGUAACACGUGGAUAACCUACCUAUAAGACUGGGAUAACUUCGGGAAACCGGAGCUAAUACCGGAUAAUAUUUUGAACCGCAUGGUUCAAAAGUGAAAGACGGUCUUGCUGUCACUUAUAGAUGGAUCCGCGCUGCAUUAGCUAGUUGGUAAGGUAACGGCUUACCAAGGCAACGAUGCAUAGCCGACCUGAGAGGGUGAUCGGCCACACUGGAACUGAGACACGGUCCAGACUCCUACGGGAGGCAGCAGUAGGGAAUCUUCCGCAAUGGGCGGAAGCCUGACGGAGCAACGCCGCGUGAGUGAUGAAGGUCUUCGGAUCGUAAAACUCUGUUAUUAGGGAAGAACAUAUGUGUAAGUAACUGUGCACAUCUUGACGGUACCUAAUCAGAAAGCCACGGCUAACUACGUGCCAGCAGCCGCGGUAAUACGUAGGUGGCAAGCGUUAUCCGGAAUUAUUGGGCGUAAAGCGCGCGUAGGCGGUUUUUUAAGUCUGAUGUGAAAGCCCACGGCUCAACCGUGGAGGGUCAUUGGAAACUGGAAAACUUGAGUGCAGAAGAGGAAAGUGGAAUUCCAUGUGUAGCGGUGAAAUGCGCAGAGAUGUGGAGGAACACCAGUGGCGAAGGCGACUUUCUGGUCUGUAACUGACGCUGAUGUGCGAAAGCGUGGGGAUCAAACAGGAUUAGAUACCCUGGUAGUCCACGCCGUAAACGAUGAGUGCUAAGUGUUAGGGGGUUUCCGCCCCUUAGUGCUGCAGCUAACGCAUUAAGCACUCCGCCUGGGGAGUACGACCGCAAGGUUGAAACUCAAAGGAAUUGACGGGGGCCCGCACAAGCGGUGGAGCAUGUGGUUUAAUUCGAAGCAACGCGAAGAACCUUACCAAAUCUUGACAUCCUUUGACAACUCUAGAAAUAGAGCCUUCCCCUUCGGGGGACAAAGUGACAGGUGGUGCAUGGUUGUCGUCAGCUCGUGUCGUGAGAUGUUGGGUUAAGUCCCGCAACGAGCGCAACCCUUAAGCUUAGUUGCCAUCAUUAAGUUGGGCACUCUAAGUUGACUGCCGGUGACAAACCGGAGGAAGGUGGGGAUGACGUCAAAUCAUCAUGCCCCUUAUGAUUUGGGCUACACACGUGCUACAAUGGACAAUACAAAGGGCAGCGAAACCGCGAGGUCAAGCAAAUCCCAUAAAGUUGUUCUCAGUUCGGAUUGUAGUCUGCAACUCGACUACAUGAAGCUGGAAUCGCUAGUAAUCGUAGAUCAGCAUGCUACGGUGAAUACGUUCCCGGGUCU